GGCCCCCCGAGCCCGCCGGACAGCGGCACCGCGGGGACGCGGUGUCCAGUGCGGGCUGGAGCUUCGCGGGAGCGCCGUGGGUCAGAGCCUUCCUCUGAUCGCGGGCUUCGUGAGUCGGGGAAAUAAAGCGCCAGAACGUGUUUAUGCCCUUGGGGCCGAUGUGCGGGAACAGCGUGAUUAAGCCGCUCAGCUGAAGGGUCGGGCAAAUAUUCCAGCAUCCUGUGUAAAUACUUAGGGCCACGCAUCAGGGAGGGGGGUUCAGGCUCCAAAGUGAGAGUAAAUGCAAUAAGAAUUGUCACAGGCGCCCCGGCUUUUCCUAGUGGGGCUCCCACUGUCAGAGCCAGCUGGCAGCACGAGACCAGGGAACUUCACCCACUGAGUUUGGGAAGGGGGGUUGGUCUGGCUACAGCCGUUGGGGACUGUCUCCAGAGUGAUUCUCAAGAAGAGUUGUUGUACCCUGCUGUUAAAAAACAAAUCCAGAACAACUCCUGAGCUAGGACAUGCUUCUCCAGUAAAUGCCAGUGAUCAAUCCCCAGGGCUGGAGUUAAGGAAAUUACUGCUCCAAAUGGACACUGUCAGAUUCAGAGUUACUUUUCAACAGUUCUUUAAAGUGUCAUAUACAAGAUCCCACUAUUGCAACUGAGAAUUACUGAGUGCAUCUAUGCAUAUUUCCUUCAGCAAGAAGGAGACAGCUGCUGAUUAACCUUGCUUGGAACCUCUAACACAGCAGUGGCAGAAGGUGGCAGAAACUGGGCAUCAUAAGAAAAAAACAACUAUCCACUGUUGUGGAAGCUAUUCUAGAAACACGGCGUAUUUGCAAACCCUCAGUAUACAGCAGCACAUACCCUAGGUACUGAUAAGAUUUGACCUGAUGUCUUCUCUUUAAAGCAUGGUCUGUGUUUUUAUAUGUGAACGCUUUGGGCUUUUGAAGCCUUGCAGUUUCCCUCUUUAUACUAUUUAUAAAGACUACUUUUUCAUAAGGCUUUUAAAUAAACGUAGAGUAGAAGAGACACCAUGAAUUUCGCCUUGCUAUGAUGGAAACACCCUGGAGAUGCAGUUUGUCCACAGCAGGGGAUACAAUCUUUCUAACAUGGGAGAAAGUUUUUCUACAGGGGAAGUGCCCCAUCUGUGCUGGAGGGGCUGGUCUUGUGCCUGUUCAUCCUAACGCACACUUCGUACCACAAACCCAGGCCAGGGCAGCCUUGGCCAUCUUAGCCGUGAUGUGAGAAUUUGAGUAAAAAAACACAACUUAGCAACCUCCUAAGUGAUGUACCAGCCUGCUUCAGAUAUCAUUUCACAACUGGCUUUACUUUUCUGUGUAUUUAUAAAAGCAGACUUGUUUUUCCUGUACAGUGGCUUGUAUGUGUGAAUUUUUAAAUGAUUCUGAUACGGCAUUGCUGCUUUUUUUUUUUUCCUGGCCUGCGAAAGAAUGAAUGUAAUAUACAGCCAGCAUUAUGCAUGCAUGCAUUACUUCUUUUGCAAGGAAAAAUUGGUAGAAAUUAUUUCAGGUGAUUUCCAUUUAUUCUUUGAGCACUUAAAGGUGUCUGAUAUUUCUGCGGCUGGCUUACCUGUUUUUCUUGGAAUUCCCCUGCAGCUUAGCAUUAGUUAAUGUUUAACAAUUCUUGAUCGAAUGUAGUCAUUAAUUACAAGGCAAUGCCUCCCUGUGUUACAGCCCGUUUCUACCUCUCUCCAAGCCUAAUGAAGACAGUUAUCCUUUUUCAGAAGUACACAAAGAAGAUAGCACGGUGCGUGCAAACAGCUGUACUGGAAAAACAAACUGCGACAGUGAGCAUUUUUUAUCCUAUCUGCUCUAUCCUCCCCUUAGGUCUUUCUGCUGAGUUUUUAAUUUUUUUCCUCCACGUGUAAAACCUAGUCAAGAUGUUUUGUGGGACAGUAUUUAAUGCAUCUUUCUGAAGAGGACAGCAUGGUCAGACUGCAGAGUGUUGUUAACCAUGGCAAAACCUUUUUUUUCCUUUUUUUUACUUAAGGUAAAAAAAACCUUUAAUAUCAAAAGUAUUUAAAGCUGGAAAAAUAGCAAAGAAAACCUGAGAUUAGCAUUUUUUUAAAAAGUCUCUUUGUGUAACUUCUUGCUUACUCACUAAUUGAAACUUCCCAUGUUCUGGAUAUCUAAGCAGAAGGUUUAAAUCUGUAAUGUCAUUCCUUCUCUCUGCAGUUUGGUUAUUGUGUUUUCACAACAGAAAAAUAACUGUUAUUACUGAAAUGUAGAAUAAAUACAGGAUAUC
This is a long non-coding RNA of Taeniopygia guttata (zebra finch), 2243 nucleotides long. Lineage: Eukaryota; Metazoa; Chordata; Aves; Passeriformes; Estrildidae. The record is from Ensembl.